This is a long non-coding RNA of Gavialis gangeticus (Gharial), 2910 nucleotides long. RefSeq lists it as uncharacterized. NCBI's taxonomy places the organism in Eukaryota, Metazoa, Chordata, Crocodylia, Gavialidae. The record is from RefSeq and is a predicted model, not a curated record. The transcript is spliced from 2 exons.
AUCGCAGCUGCGACCUCCUCUUUUAAUUUUGAUCCCGACACUUGGGUGACGCUUGUCCUUGCGGCCAGCUUGCUCCUGUUCCUCGCAAAAUGAGGCUUCUGCUCCAUGAGUCACGCUUCACCUCUCGCUGUGCCACAGGUUUAUUCUUCGUUUCGGGCCCCGGUGUCAUUAACCUGGGGACGCCUUUCUUUUUUUAAGCUGCUGCCAUCGUUUUCAAACAAGAUGCAAAUGGCGUUUUGCUCGCAAUCGCGGCAUGUUUCUAUUGCUAGGGCAGGGCAGGGGACUUUGCUGGCAGCGGGCUUUCAGGCUCUGCAAGACGAUCUAAAUAAAAGAAGUUGCGUGUCUGUUAACAGUGAGGGCCCAGCGGACCUUUCUGUCCUCUCACUGCCUGCUAACCAGGGCGCCAUCACUCGGUAGGGACUGCGGGAGAUAUUAGGCUAAUAUUACACUUAUCUGGGGUCUUUGUGUGCAUGCAAAAGCCAGUCAUUUAUUUACCUGGCAUGCAAAGCGGGCACCCUGCUCUGCCAGCUGUAUCUCUGGGGAUGGCGUUUGACCUGUAGCAGCCCCACUCUAGAUGCUGUCCCGUACGGAGACGGGCGCUGAGCGUGCCAGCUGAGCCUGCUGCGUUUUGGAGACGACCGUUAAUGCACCUGUUUGAAGCGGACGCCAGUGCCGUGCCUCCAAACGGAGGGGGAACGAAAAGCUGGUCUGCGUGAGGUCGGAGCGCAGCGGCGGUCACCCUCGCCCAGCUCCGUUUUUAUGGAUCGUUUGAGCCGGCGAUUAUUCUUCCAACCUGUCGCCAAAGGGACUGAGUGGCAGCAAGAAAAAUGAGGGACUUUCAGGGGCAGCUGUGUUUUACUAACCCAGUCAUAAUGCCCCUAAAAAUCCUUAUUGUUCUUGCAAUGUUCAACUAACCUGCAGUGCCAGGAAGCCCGGGGGGGUAAGUAUCAGCUCUGCGCAGCCGGAGGGCUUGUCGUGUUGCAGGGAUGUUUGCAAACUGGUAACUUGUUUGUAGGGGCCAGGGCUGCUUUUCUUUCCCCCCGCAAAAGCAAAUCGGGACAGGAACAGCUGUCAUGAGGUCUCUGAUGGACAGUGUCUCCUUUAUGCUCCGAUCCCAAGCAACGCUAAUAUUGUAUGGAGGAAACAAAACUGAAACUGAGCUAUUUUAUUCUCUUGGCUGAUUCACUGGAGUGAAAUGCCAAAAGCAAACAGACGGUGUAAAGGAGUAAGAAUGUAUUCACACCUACCCCCACGUACUCACACCCCCAUGCACACCCACGUACUGCCCCCCUCCCCCCCCACACACACACACCCACACACGCAUCCCCGCACAAGAUUUUUUUAUAACUACCAGCAAUCUUGUUUGCAGGACAUACGGCAAAGCACGUGUGCAGGUACCAGAGGGACCAGAGCCUCGGGUGGUGCAAACCUGCCAGCAGCAGAGGCGCAGUGGUUAAUACCUGCUGGGAUUCUGGCAUGUAAAUGUUUACAGCUUUUUCUUAAUUAAAAUAUUCCUGUACACCCAGUUUGCUGGCAGAUUUCAAAGCCCAGCCCUGCAGACACUCAUGCUUAGAAGUCUUUACGGGAUUUCAAGCGACUAUGCCACACUGUAGCUGUAGAUCAUUAGCAUUAAACACAAACUAUUCGUAGCACAUAAUAUUGCUGGUAUCUUAUACAAGUGAGCAUUCACACACAUGCAGAUCUCCUUCCAUUGCUCUCUUCUCAGGGGCUUCAUCUCUAAAACCUUCACUUAACUCUUUAGCUGGGAGGAACCAGCAGUCAACACCUUUGUGAAGGCGUCACUGUCCCCUGGCUUUUCUCCCAAGCAAAGGGCCUGAGGAGCAGCAGCUGCAAACGGAGCUGAAAGGAAACAGCUGAAGGUGCAGCCUGUGUAGGAAAAGUGGAGGAAGAGGAUGACUGUUAAUUGGAAAUUAGCUCUAGAUGCAGAUUUGCAAGGCAACCCAGAUCCAAGUCCCAGGAUCUUCAGCAGGGCGUUUUAGGACUCGCCCUGCACCACUGAAGUCCCUGGAAGUUUUGGUCUAGGCAUAAAGGAGCCGGGAUUGGAAGAAACGGGGUGACAGUGAAGUCCCGGACCCCAUGCAGAUGGGGUUCCCUGAAUAUUUACUGGCUCGUUUGCUUGUCUCCCAGCAUUGCUAACCUGACCCCUCCCAUGAUCCAGCCCUAAGGAGAGAUUGUGUCCUCUGCUACCUUGAACUCUAACCUCUUUUAUCCCCUCUAAUGACCUGCAGGGCCCUGCUGCUAUGAACCUCUUGACUGUCUGGCCUGGAGACUGUACUGGACAGUCGGUAGUCACCCGAGAUGAAGAUAGCAACAGCAGAGGAAGGCACUGCUGAUGGGAGUGUGCACUGGUCACAGGUGUGAAGGUAGCCAGUUUGAGAAUAAAGGCUACGAUGUCUGAGUGAGCGAUAAGUGUAGUAACCUCACCCGGGCUUUCCCGUUCGGAUGCCAGCCACGCUGACCGUGUUGUAGUGAUGCUUCUCUGUAGUCAGGAGAGCUCGAGUGAGUAUUUAAUUCUGUUGCCGGGAGAAGGAUUUAAAAAUAUAUUGGUAGUCCUACCAGACUUGCAGAUCAGGGGGCCACCGUAUCCUGAAUCCUGUCUCUGCAGGCAGCCAGCGCCAAAGGACUGGGGGGAAGGGGCAUAAAACCUUCUCGUGGGCAAUUCUGGGAUUACCAGCACGAGUUCGUUUCCACCUCCACCUCCAGCUAGUUAGGAGUGAGCUUCUCUCGAGCCCAGAGUGCUUUACGUCCCAUUGUAUGUCUUGCCUUAACCUGACUCUGGUCAUUUUUAUUUCCCAUAUAACUACCUGCUGCUUCUCCAAGUCCUGCUAAACUCUUGGCCGUGGUGACAUCCUGCAGCCAGGAGUUCCACGAGUUCAUUACAUAAAAGGU